UACGUAGGGUCCGAGCGUUGUCCGGAAUUAUUGGGCGUAAAGGGCUCGUAGGCGGUUUGUCGCGUCUGCCGUGAAAGUCCGGGGCUCAACUCCGGAUCUGCGGUGGGUACGGGCAGACUAGAGUGAUGUAGGGGAGACUGGAAUUCCUGGUGUAGCGGUGAAAUGCGCAGAUAUCAGGAGGAACACCGGUGGCGAAGGCGGGUCUCUGGGCCGAUACUGACGCUGAGGAGCGAAAGCGUGGGGAGCGAACAGG
This 253-nucleotide ribosomal RNA is filed under the name uncultured bacterium. RNAcentral describes it as "partial 16S ribosomal RNA". It matches the Rfam family "Bacterial small subunit ribosomal RNA", at positions 524 to 776 of the family's 1533-position model. The record is from RNAcentral.